UACGGAGGGGGUUAGCGUUGUUCGGAAUUACUGGGCGUAAAAGCGCGCGUAGGCGGACUAUUAAGUCAGAGGUGAAAAUCCCCGGGGCUCAACCCCCGGAACUGCCUUUGAUACUGGUAGUCUUGAGUUCGAGAGAGGUAAGUGGAAUUCCGAGUGUAGAGGUGAAAAUUCGUAGAUAUUCGGAGGAACACCAGUGGCGAAGGCGGCUUACUGGCUCGAUACUGACGCUGAGGUGCGAAAAGUGUGGGGGAGCAAAACAGGAUUAGAUACCCCUGUAGUCC
Molecule: ribosomal RNA, 281 nt
Filed under: uncultured bacterium
Lineage: Bacteria
Description: partial 16S ribosomal RNA
Rfam family: Bacterial small subunit ribosomal RNA
Source: RNAcentral